RNAcentral lists this ribosomal RNA (854 nucleotides) under Staphylococcus aureus. RNAcentral's name for it is "partial 23S ribosomal RNA". It matches the Rfam family "Bacterial large subunit ribosomal RNA", at positions 135 to 985 of the family's 2925-position model. Lineage: Bacteria; Bacillati; Bacillota; Bacilli; Caryophanales; Staphylococcaceae. The record is from RNAcentral.
GAGUUAUGUCAUGUUAUCGAUAUGUGAAUACAUAGCAUAUCAGAAGGCACACCCGGAGAACUGAAACAUCUUAGUACCCGGAGGAAGAGAAAGAAAAUUCGAUUCCCUUAGUAGCGGCGAGCGAAACGGGAAGAGCCCAAACCAACAAGCUUGCUUGUUGGGGUUGUAGGACACUCUAUACGGAGUUACAAAGGACGACAUUAGACGAAUCAUCUGGAAAGAUGAAUCAAAGAAGGUAAUAAUCCUGUAGUCGAAAAUGUUGUCUCUCUUGAGUGGAUCCUGAGUACGACGGAGCACGUGAAAUUCCGUCGGAAUCUGGGAGGACCAUCUCCUAAGGCUAAAUACUCUCUAGUGACCGAUAGUGAACCAGUACCGUGAGGGAAAGGUGAAAAGCACCCCGGAAGGGGAGUGAAAUAGAACCUGAAACCGUGUGCUUACAAGUAGUCAGAGCCCGUUAAUGGGUGAUGGCGUGCCUUUUGUAGAAUGAACCGGCGAGUUACGAUUUGAUGCAAGGUUAAGCAGUAAAUGUGGAGCCGUAGCGAAAGCGAGUCUGAAUAGGGCGUUUAGUAUUUGGUCGUAGACCCGAAACCAGGUGAUCUACCCUUGGUCAGGUUGAAGUUCAGGUAACACUGAAUGGAGGACCGAACCGACUUACGUUGAAAAGUGAGCGGAUGAACUGAGGGUAGCGGAGAAAUUCCAAUCGAACCUGGAGAUAGCUGGUUCUCUCCGAAAUAGCUUUAGGGCUAGCCUCAAGUGAUGAUUAUUGGAGGUAGAGCACUGUUUGGACGAGGGGCCCCUCUCGGGUUACCGAAUUCAGACAAACUCCGAAUGCCAAUUAAUUUAACUUGGGAGUC